RNAcentral lists this non-coding RNA (23 nucleotides) under Cricetulus griseus (Chinese hamster). Lineage: Eukaryota; Metazoa; Chordata; Mammalia; Rodentia; Cricetidae. The record is from RNAcentral.
GAUAUGAUGACUGAUUACCUGAG